CGGAGGAUCCAAGCGUUAUCCGGAAUCAUUGGGUUUAAAGGGUCCGUAGGCGGUUUUAUAAGUCAGUGGUGAAAUCUGGUCGCUCAACGAUCAAACGGCCAUUGAUACUGUAGAACUUGAAUUACUUGGAAGUAACUAGAAUAUGUAGUGUAGCGGUGAAAUGCUUAGAGAUUACAUGGAAUACCAAUUGCGAAGGCAGGUUACUACAAGUGGAUUGACGUUGAUGGACGAAAGCGUGGGGAGCGAACAGGAUUAGAUACCCUGGUAGUCCACGCCGUAAACGAUGGAUACUAGCUGUUCGGAGCAAUCUGAGUGGCUAAGCGAAAGUGAUAAGUAUCCCACCUGGGGAGUACGAACGCAAGUUUG
This 366-nucleotide ribosomal RNA is filed under the name uncultured organism. RNAcentral's name for it is "bacterial SSU rRNA". It matches the Rfam family "Bacterial small subunit ribosomal RNA", at positions 526 to 896 of the family's 1533-position model. The record is from RNAcentral.